GGCCUCGUAGCUCAGUUAGCUGGAGUGUUGGCUUUACUGAAGCCUUCUCCUUGCUGCCGUGGGUUCGAAUCCUACCGAGGCCA
This 83-nucleotide transfer RNA is filed under the name Schistocephalus solidus. It matches the Rfam family "tRNA". From Rfam's summary of the family: Transfer RNA (tRNA) molecules are approximately 80 nucleotides in length. Their secondary structure includes four short double-helical elements and three loops (D, anti-codon, and T loops). Lineage: Eukaryota; Metazoa; Platyhelminthes; Cestoda; Diphyllobothriidea; Diphyllobothriidae. The record is from Rfam by way of RNAcentral.